Molecule: ribosomal RNA, 1881 nt
Filed under: metagenome
Description: bacterial LSU rRNA
Rfam family: Bacterial large subunit ribosomal RNA
Source: RNAcentral
GAGUGGUUCUGCGCCGACAAUGUAGUGGGGCUCAAGUACACCGCCGAAGCCGCGGAACUUCCAUCUUUUGGUGGGGGUUGGUAGGGGAGCGUCGUGUGGCCGGUGAAGGUGCGGGGUGACCCAGUGCUGGAGGCCAUGCGAGUGAGAAUGCAGGCAUGAGUAGCGAAUGACGAGUGAGAAACUCGUCCGCCGGAUGACUAAGGGUUCCUGGGUCAAGCUAAUCUUCCCAGGGUGAGUCGGGGCCUAAGGCGAGGCCGACAGGCGUAGUCGAUGGAUAACGGGUUGAUAUUCCCGUACCCGUGUGUCCGCGCCCAUGGUGAAUCAGGGAUACUAACCCACCUGAACACGCGCCGUUUACUAGCCUUUUAGGUUGGUUGGUGUGUGUGAUGCUGGGGACCUGAACUGGUAGUAGCCAAGUGAUGGGGUGACGCAGGAAGGUAGCCGAGCCACUUAUUGGAUUGUGGUGUAAGCGUGUGGCCCGUCAGCCUGGUAAAUCCGGUUGGCAUGAGGGUGAGGCGUGAUGCGUACCCGUUUGUGGGGAUGUCGGUGAUCCUAUGCUGUCGAGAAAAGCCUCUAGCGAUGUGCACAUUCGGCCCGUACCCAUAACCGACACAGGUGGUCAGGUAGAGAAUACUAAGGCGAUCGGGUGAACUGUGGUUAAGGAACUCGGCAAAAUGCCCCCGUAACUUCGGGAGAAGGGGGACCACUGCUGGUGACAGACUGGUUUUGAGCUGGUGGUGGUCGCAGAGAAUAGAGGGAAGCGACUGUUUACUAAAAACACAGGUCCGUGCGAAGACGGUAAGUCGAUGUAUACGGACUGACGCCUGCCCGGUGCUGGAAGGUUAAGAGGACCUGUUAGACCCUUGUGGUCGAAGCGGAGAAUUUAAGCCCCAGUAAACGGCGGUGGUAACUAUAACCAUCCUAAGGUAGCGAAAUUCCUUGUCGGGUAAGUUCCGACCUGCACGAAUGGCGUAACGACUUCUCUGCUGUCUCAACCACAGGCCCGGCGAAAUUGCAGUACGAGUAAAGAUGCUCGUUACGCGCGGCAGGACGAAAAGACCCCGGGACCUUCACUAUAGCUUGGUAUUGGUGUUCGGUUCGGUUUGUGUAGGAUAGGUGGGAGACUGUGAAGCGGCCACGCCAGUGGUUGUGGAGUCGUUGUUGAAAUACCACUCUGAUCGUAUUGGAUACCUGAACCUCGGCCCGUGAUCCGGGUUAGGGACAGUGCCUGGUGGGUAGUUUAACUGGGGCGGUUGCCUCCCAAAGUGUAACGGAGGCGCCCAAAGGUUCCCUCAGCCUGGUUGGCAAUCAGGUGUUGAGUGUAAGUGCACAAGGGAGCUUGACUGUGAGACUGACAGGUCGAGCAGGGACGAAAGUCGGGACUAGUGAUCCGGCACCGGCUUGUGGAAGCGGUGUCGCUCAACGGAUAAAAGGUACCCCGGGGAUAACAGGCUGAUCUUCCCCAAGAGUCCAUAUCGACGGGAUGGUUUGGCACCUCGAUGUCGGCUCGUCGCAUCCUGGGGCUGGAGUAGGUCCCAAGGGUUGGGCUGUUCGCCCAUUAAAGCGGCACGCGAGCUGGGUUUAGAACGUCGUGAGACAGUUCGGUCUCUAUCCGCCGCGCGCGUUGAAACUUGAGAAAGGCUGUCCCUAGUACGAGAGGACCGGGACGGACAUACCUCUGGUGGGCCAGUUGUCACGCCCGUGGCAUGGCUGGUUGGCUACGUAUGGGAGGGAUAACCGCUGAAAGCAUCUAAGCGGGAAGCCUGUUUCAAGAUGAGGUUUCGUUUGAGGUUCCCUGUAGAUGACGGGGUUGAUAGGCCGGAUCUGGACGCCAUGUAAGUGGUGGAGGUGACCGGUACUAAUUGACCGAAAUGACACACU